CUGGCCCUUUAUUUGACGGUAAUCAACCCAGAAAAGUCACGGCUAACUACGUGCCCAGCAGCCGCGGUAAUACGUAGGUGGCAAGCGUUGUCCGGAUUUAUUGGGCGUAAAGCGAGCGCAGGCGGAAGAAUAAGUCUGAUGUGAAAGCCCUCGGCUUAACCGAGGAACUGCAUCGGAAACUGUUUUUCUUGAGUGCAGAAGAGGAGAGUGGUACUCUAUGUGUAGCGGUGGAAUGCGUAGAUAUAUGGAAGAACACCAGUGGCGAAGGCGACUCUCUGGUCUGCAACUGACGCUGAGGCUCGAAAGCAUGGGUAGCGAACAGGAUUAGAUACCCUGGUAGUCCAUGCCGUAAACGAUGAGUGCUAAGUGUUGGGAGGUUUCCGCCUCUCAGUGCUGCAGCUAACGCAUUAAGCACUCCGCCUGGGGAGUACGACCGCAAGGUUGAAACUCAAAGGAAUUGACGGGGGCCCGCACAAGCGGUGGAGCAUGUGGUUUAAUUCGAAGCAACGCGAAGAACCUUACCAGGUCUUGACAUCUAGUGCCAUCCUAAGAGAUUAGGAGUUCCCUUCGGGGACGCUAAGACAGGUGGUGCAUGGCUGUCGUCAGCUCGUGUCGUGAGAUGUUGGGUUAAGUCCCGCAACGAGCGCAACCCUUGUUAUUAGUUGCCAGCAUUAAGUUGGGCACUCUAAUGAGACUGCCGGUGAUAAACCGGAGGAAGGUGGGGAUGACGUCAAGUCAUCAUGCCCCUUAUGACCUGGGCUACACACGUGCUACAAUGGACAGUACAACGAGAAGCGAGCCUGCGAAGGCAAGCGAAUCUCUGAAAGCUGUUCUCAGUUCGGACUGCAGUCUGCAACUCGACUGCACGAAGCUGGAAUCGCUAGUAAUCGCGGAUCAGAACGCCGCGGUGAAUACGUUCCCGGGCCUUGUACACACCGCCCGUCACACCAUGGAAGUCUGCAAUGCCCAAAGCCGGUGGCCUAACCUUCGGGAAGGAGCCGUCUAAGGCAGGGCAGAUGACUGGGGUGAAGUCGAACCAAGGAGAUGAGA
Molecule: ribosomal RNA, 1050 nt
Filed under: Lactobacillus helveticus
Lineage: Bacteria; Bacillati; Bacillota; Bacilli; Lactobacillales; Lactobacillaceae
Description: bacterial SSU rRNA
Rfam family: Bacterial small subunit ribosomal RNA
Source: RNAcentral